GCGAGUAAUAGGGUUCCUGCCCUCCGAAGGCAGGGGUUGCUGGUUCGAUCCCAGCCGGGCGCGCCA
RNAcentral lists this transfer RNA (66 nucleotides) under Burkholderia pseudomallei. RNAcentral describes it as "tRNA-Ser". The record is from RNAcentral. Lineage: Bacteria; Pseudomonadati; Pseudomonadota; Betaproteobacteria; Burkholderiales; Burkholderiaceae. RNAcentral also lists the same sequence under 1 other name.